UACGGAAGGCAGCAGUGGGGAAUAUUGCACAAUGGGCGCAAGCCUGAUGCAGCCAUGCCGCGUGUAUGAAGAAGGCCUUCGGGUUGUAAAGUACUUUCAGUCGUGAGGAAGGUGUUAAGGUUAAUAACCUUAGCAAUUGACGUUAGCGACAGAAGAAGCACCGGCUAACUCCGUGCCAGCAGCCGCGGUAAUACGGAGGGUGCGAGCGUUAAUCGGAAUUACUGGGCGUAAAGGGCACGCAGGCGGUUAAUUAAGUUGGAUGUGAAAUCCCCGGGCUUAACCUGGGAAUGGCAUUCAAGACUGGUUAGCUAGAGUCUUGUAGAGGGGGUAGAAUUCCAUGUGUAGCGGUGAAAUGCGUAGAGAUGUGGAGGAAUACCGGUGGCGAAGGCGGCCCCUGGACAAAGGCUGACGCUCAUGUGCGAAAGCGUGGGGAGC
This 435-nucleotide ribosomal RNA is filed under the name uncultured bacterium. Its description in RNAcentral is "bacterial SSU rRNA". It matches the Rfam family "Bacterial small subunit ribosomal RNA", at positions 340 to 769 of the family's 1533-position model. The record is from RNAcentral.